Molecule: unclassified non-coding RNA, 331 nt
Filed under: soil metagenome
Description: partial contains 5.8S ribosomal RNA, internal transcribed spacer 2, and large subunit ribosomal RNA
Rfam family: 5.8S ribosomal RNA (bases 1-120)
Source: RNAcentral
GAUGAAGAACGUAGCAAAAUGCGAUAAGUAAUGUGAAUUGCAGAAUUCAGUGAAUCAUCGAAUCUUUGAACGCACAUUGCGCCCGCCAGUAUUCUGGCGGGCAUGCCUGUUCGAGCGUCAUUUCAACCCUCAAGCACAGCUUGGUGUUGGGACUCGCGUUAAUUCGCGUUCCCCAAAUUGAUUGGCGGUCACGUCGAGCUUCCAUAGCGUAGUAGUAAAACCCUCGUUACUGGUAAUCGUCGCGGCCACGCCGUUAAACCCCAACUUCUGAAUGUUGACCUCGGAUCAGGUAGGAAUACCCGCUGAACUUAAGCAUAUCAAUAACGGAGGA